Small nucleolar RNA from Sinocyclocheilus anshuiensis, 140 nucleotides. The record is from Ensembl. Lineage: Eukaryota; Metazoa; Chordata; Actinopteri; Cypriniformes; Cyprinidae.
GUGCACUGUUCGUAACCUGUUUCAGCCUGUCAAUCUGAGAUUUGGGUUCCAUUCCAGUGCAAGAUACAAAAAAAACUCAGUGAGGCAGGGGAGUGGUGCCUCACUUGUGCUUUCUCCCUGUUCACUCUCUGAUGACAUCU